Long non-coding RNA from Mastomys coucha (southern multimammate mouse), 514 nucleotides. RefSeq lists it as uncharacterized. The record is from RefSeq and is a predicted model, not a curated record. NCBI's taxonomy places the organism in Eukaryota, Metazoa, Chordata, Mammalia, Rodentia, Muridae. The transcript has 3 exons.
UGUCAUAGAGGCCAAGGAUGUAAGUUCUCGCCCCUGGGCAUCACAGACAAAGCUGGACACCAUGGAGGAGCUGAGAAUGAAUUGGGAGCCCCAGAGCAGCUCAGUCCCUUCUAGGGCUAAAGGAAGAAAGGAGACAGACAAAUGGAACCUUGAAGAGGCCCAGUGAAGAAACAGCUUGGCAGAUGUCAUAAUAGGCCUACAGAUUCCAAGCCUUGAAAAAUGGACUGACAGGCUUGCACAACUUUCCAAUUCCCAGAAGGCAGACAGCAGUUGACAGACACAAAAUGUGAUGCAUGAUAAUGUCUAAAGCUGAAGACAAAAAAUGAGAGACAAAAAACAAAGCUAUGUGCAAGUUAGGCUGUAUACGAGGCAAGGCAGCAGCUUUCAAGACAGAGAAAUAGCUGGUAAAGCUAUUGAAGAAGAAACUCUCAGGUAGUACCAAAGCUAUUUUAUCUAUCAUGAUUGGGCUCUGACUUCUGGGUUGUUUUUGUUGUUUUGUUUUGUUUGUCCUCUA